Molecule: ribosomal RNA, 465 nt
Filed under: Vreelandella stevensii
Lineage: Bacteria; Pseudomonadati; Pseudomonadota; Gammaproteobacteria; Oceanospirillales; Halomonadaceae
Description: partial 16S ribosomal RNA
Rfam family: Bacterial small subunit ribosomal RNA
Source: RNAcentral
CCUACGGGUGGCAGCAGUGGGGAAUAUUGGACAAUGGGGGGAACCCUGAUCCAGCCAUGCCGCGUGUGUGAAGAAGGCCCUCGGGUUGUAAAGCACUUUCAGUGAGGAAGAACGCCUGGUGGUUAAUACCCAUCAGGAAAGACAUCACUCACAGAAGAAGCACCGGCUAACUCCGUGCCAGCAGCCGCGGUAAUACGGAGGGUGCGAGCGUUAAUCGGAAUUACUGGGCGUAAAGCGCGCGUAGGUGGCUUGAUAAGCCGGUUGUGAAAGCCCCGGGCUCAACCUGGGAGCGGCAUCCGGAACUGUCAAGCUAGAGUGCAGGAGAGGAAGGUAGAAUUCCCGGUGUAGCGGUGAAAUGCGUAGAGAUCGGGAGGAAUACCAGUGGCGAAGGCGGCCUUCUGGACUGACACUGACACUGAGGUGCGAAAGCGUGGGUAGCAAACAGGAUUAGAUACCCCAGUAGUC